CGGCGAGUUACGAUUUGUUGCAAGGUUAAGCGGAAAAAGCGGAGCCGUAGCGAAAGCGAGUCUGAAUAGGGCGCAUAAGUAACAGGUCGUAGACCCGAAACCAGGUGAUCUACCCAUGUCCAGGAUGAAGGUAAGGUAAUACUUACUGGAGGUCCGAACCCACGCACGUUGAAAAGUGCGGGGAUGAGGUGUGGGUAGCGGAGAAAUUCCAAUCGAACUUGGAGAUAGCUGGUUCUCUCCGAAAUAGCUUUAGGGCUAGCCUCGAGGUAAAGAGUCAUGGAGGUAGAGCACUGUUUGGACUAGGGGCCCUUCUCGGGUUACCGAAUUCAGAUAAACUCCGAAUGCCAUGUACUUAUACUCGGGAGUCAGACUGCGAGUGAUAAGAUCCGUAGUCGAAAGGGAAACAGCCCAGACCACCAGUUAAGGUCCCCAAAUAUAUGUUAAGUGGAAAAGGAUGUGGGGUUGCUUAGACAACCAGGAUGUUGGCUUAGAAGCAGCCACCAUUGAAAGAGUGCGUAAUAGCUCACUGGUCGAGUGACCCCGCGCCGAAAAUGUACCGGGGCUAAACAUAUUACCGAAACUGUGGAUGAACCUCUUUAGAGGUUCGUGGUAGGAGAGCGUUCUAAGGGCGGUGAAGUCAGACCGGAAGGACUGGUGGAGCGCUUAGAAGUGAGAAUGCCGGUAUGAGUAGCGAAAGAAGGGUGAGAAUCCCUUCCACCGAAUAUCUAAGGUUUCCUGAGGAAGGCUCGUCCGCUCAGGGUUAGUCGGGACCUAAGCCGAGGCCGAUAGGCGUAGGCGAUGGACAACAGGUAGAGAUUCCUGUACCAGUGCUAAUUGUUUAACCGAUGGGGUGACACAGAAGGAUAGGGAAUCGCACGAAUGGAAAUGUGCGUCCAAGCAGUGAGUGUGAGAAGUAGGCAAAUCCGCUUCUCGCGAAGCAUGAGCUGUGAUGGGGAAGGAAAUUAAGUACGGAAGUUCCUGAUUUCACGCUGUCAAGAAAAGCCUCUAGGAAGAGUAGUACUGCCCGUACCGCAAACCGACACAGGUAGAUGAGGAGAGAAUCCUAAGGUGAGCGAGAGAACUCUCGUUAAGGAACUCGGCAAAAUGACCCCGUAACUUCGGGAGAAGGGGUGCUCUAUUAGGGUGCAAGCCCGAGAGAGCCGCAGUGAAUAGGCCCAGGCGACUGUUUAGCAAAAACACAGGUCUCUGCAAAACCGUAAGGUGACGUAUAGGGGCUGACGCCUGCCCGGUGCUGGAAGGUUAAGAGGAGUGCUUAGCUUCGGCGAAGGUACGAAUUGAAGCCCCAGUAAACGGCGGCCGUAACUAUAACGGUCCUAAGGUAGCGAAAUUCCUUGUCGGGUAAGUUCCGACCCGCACGAAAGGCGCAACGAUCUGGGCACUGUCUCAACGAGAGACUCGGUGAAAUUAUAGUACCUGUGAAGAUGCAGGUUACCCGCGACAGGACGGAAAGACCCCGUGGAGCUUUACUGCAACCUGAUAUGGAAUGUUUGUACCGCUUGUACAGGAUAGGUAGGAGCCGAAGAGACGUGUGCGCUAGCAUACGAGGAGGCAAUGGUGGGAUACUACCCUGGCUGUAUGACCAUUCUAACCCGCCACGCUUAGCGCGUGGGGAGACAGUGUCAGGUGGGCAGUUUGACUGGGGCGGUCGCCUCCUAAAGAGUAACGGAGGCGCCCAAAGGUUCCCUCAGAAUGGAUGGAAAUCAUUCGCAGAGUGUAAAGGCACAAGGGAGCUUGACUGCGAGACUGACAAGUCGAGCAGGGACGAAAGUCGGGCUUAGUGAUCCGGUGGUUCCGCAUGGAAGGGCCAUCGCUCAACGGAUAAAAGCUACCCCGGGGAUAACAGGCUUAUCUCCCCCAAGAGUCCACAUCGACGGGGAGGUUUGGCACCUCGAUGUCGGCUCGUCGCAUCCUGGGGCUGUAGUCGGUCCCAAGGGUUGGGCUGUUCGCCCAUUAAAGCGGCACGCGAGCUGGGUUCAGAACGUCGUGAGACAGUUCGGUCCCUAUCCGUCGCGGGCGCAGGAAAUUUGAGAGGAGCUGUCCUUAGUACGAGAGGACCGGGAUGGACACACCGCUGGUGUACCAGUUGUUCCGCCAGGAGCAUCGCUGGGUAGCUAUGUGUGGCAGGGAUAAACGCUGAAAGCAUCUAAGCGUGAAGCCCCCCUCAAGAUGAGAUUUCCCAUUUCUUCGGAAAGUAAGAUCCCUGAAAGAUGAUCAGGUAGAUAGGUUUGGAGUGGAAGUGUAGCGAUACAUGGAGCGGACAAAUACUAAUCGAUCGAGGACUUAACCAAAA
This 2311-nucleotide ribosomal RNA is filed under the name Listeria monocytogenes. Its description in RNAcentral is "partial 23S ribosomal RNA". It matches the Rfam family "Bacterial large subunit ribosomal RNA", at positions 621 to 2925 of the family's 2925-position model. The record is from RNAcentral. Lineage: Bacteria; Bacillati; Bacillota; Bacilli; Caryophanales; Listeriaceae.